Non-coding RNA from Oryza nivara, 182 nucleotides. NCBI's taxonomy places the organism in Eukaryota, Viridiplantae, Streptophyta, Magnoliopsida, Poales, Poaceae. The record is from Rfam.
CCUCCGAGUCGUAAGUAUUCGUGUUCAAUGUUUGACCGUUUAUUUUAUUUAAAAAACAUUAGUCAUAUAUACAGUAGUAUUCAUGUUUUAUCAUCUAAUAACAAUAAAAGUACUAAUUAUAAAAAAUUUUAAAUAAAACAAAUGAUCAAACAUUGGACAUGAGAAGUACAACUGCAUUUAUU